RNAcentral lists this long non-coding RNA (841 nucleotides) under Anas platyrhynchos platyrhynchos (common mallard). RNAcentral describes it as "lncRNA (ENSAPLG00000025928.1)". Lineage: Eukaryota; Metazoa; Chordata; Aves; Anseriformes; Anatidae. The record is from RNAcentral.
GGUGUUUUCAGGCGGGUGUCUUACUUUAGCUUACUCAAAAGAACACAAGAUGAACGCCACAGUCACAGAAACACUGCCAAUAAUGUCAAUGAAGAAUGAUGAUAAUGCUUAAUAAUGUGGACCUUCAACUCUGCAAGCAUUUCAUCAAGAGCAGAUUCCUUCCCCGAUGCAUUUCAAAAUAUUUCCAGUUGACCUGGUGAGGAAGUUCACAGACAUCAGCUUUCUGCUAGAGGAUCCCUCGGCUGAAGGAGCCUGCCCUGAGGAGUAACAGCCAGAGGCCAUCUGAGCUAAGCACUGCAGAAGGCUCUUGGGAGUAGAGGAGAUACCAGUGACAUGGCCUGAGUUUUAUCUGGACAUCAGAUAUAUUCACAACUCACCUGCAGCAGUCACCAUUAAGGGUCAGCCAAGCUCGUAGUUCAAUGCCACAGUGAAGAAAACAGCCCCACCCUGCCAUGAACACAUCUGAUAGACAGAUGGACUGGAGAGUGUUCUGGAAGUUAGCUAUUCACAGCAUGAGGAUAAAAACAGCUUCCAGAUGAAAUCACAGGUGUUCCAUCGAAUUCUUUUAAAAACACACCAGAAUCCGAAAAACAAAGGGAGAUCCUUAGCCCUGUCAAAAUAAGGAAAAACAUCUAGAGCGUCAUGACAGUAGAGACAGAAAAGAAAGGAACUGUAAAGUGAGUAAGACUAAUGGGUUAUUUAAUGAUUAUCCUGACUAUCUGGGGUGGGGAGCAUCUCCCUUUACUGCAGCCAUGCUGAAAAGAAGUUGAAUAACAGGGCUUAACAGCCAUCUACUGAGCUGGAGAUGGAGGCUGGCUUAAAAAUAGCCCUCCAGAAACUG